RNAcentral lists this ribosomal RNA (433 nucleotides) under uncultured bacterium. Its description in RNAcentral is "partial 16S ribosomal RNA". It matches the Rfam family "Bacterial small subunit ribosomal RNA", at positions 29 to 507 of the family's 1533-position model. The record is from RNAcentral.
AACGAACGCUGGCGGCAUGCCUAACACAUGCAAGUCGAACGAGACCUUCGGGUCUAGUGGCGCACGGGUGCGUAACGCGUGGGAACCUGCCCUUGGGUUCGGAAUAACUGCCCGAAAGGGGUGCUAAUACCGGAUAAUGUCUUCGGACCAAAGAUUUAUCGCCUUUGGAUGGGCCCGCGUAGGAUUAGCUAGUUGGUAGGGUAAAAGCCUACCAAGGCGACGAUCCUUAGCUGGUCUGAGAGGAUGAUCAGCCACACUGGGACUGAGACACGGCCCAGACUCCUACGGGAGGCAGCAGUGGGGAAUAUUGGACAAUGGGCGAAAGCCUGAUCCAGCAAUGCCGCGUGAGUGAUGAAGGCCUUAGGGUUGUAAAGCUCUUUUACCCGGGAUGAUAAUGACAGUACCGGGAGAAUAAGCUCCGGCUAACUCCGUG